GUCUACGGCCAUGCCACUCUGAACACGUCCAAUCCCGUCUGAUCUCAGAAGCUAAGCCGGUUCAGGCCUGGUUAGUACUUGGAUGGGAGACCACCCAGGAAGACCAGGUGUUAUAGACA
RNAcentral lists this ribosomal RNA (119 nucleotides) under Pteropus alecto (black flying fox). Lineage: Eukaryota; Metazoa; Chordata; Mammalia; Chiroptera; Pteropodidae. RNAcentral also lists the same sequence under 1 other name. The record is from RNAcentral.